GUGCUCACUUGGGCAGCACAUACACUAACAUUGGGACAAUACAGAGAAGAUUAGCAUGGACAUUGAUCAAGAAUUCAUGAAGUGCUCCACAGUUUU
Small nuclear RNA from Cavia porcellus (domestic guinea pig), 96 nucleotides. Lineage: Eukaryota; Metazoa; Chordata; Mammalia; Rodentia; Caviidae. The record is from Ensembl.